Molecule: antisense RNA, 69 nt
Filed under: Micromonospora humi
Lineage: Bacteria; Bacillati; Actinomycetota; Actinomycetes; Micromonosporales; Micromonosporaceae
Description: ASpks TB sRNA
Rfam family: ASpks TB sRNA
Source: RNAcentral
CUUGAUCGAACCCAACCACAACGGCUGCUCACGAUCCUGCCCGUACGUGGCCAGCAACGCCUGGGCCUC